GUUUUAAUAGUUUAAAUAAAACACUGAUCUUGUAAAUCAGAAAUAUGUAACAACUUUUAAAACU
Molecule: transfer RNA, 64 nt
Filed under: Rhagonycha bimucronata
Lineage: Eukaryota; Metazoa; Arthropoda; Insecta; Coleoptera; Cantharidae
Description: tRNA-Thr
Rfam family: tRNA
About the family: Transfer RNA (tRNA) molecules are approximately 80 nucleotides in length. Their secondary structure includes four short double-helical elements and three loops (D, anti-codon, and T loops). Further hydrogen bonds mediate the characteristic L-shaped molecular structure. tRNAs have two regions of fundamental functional importance: the anti-codon, which is responsible for specific mRNA codon recognition, and the 3' end, to which the tRNAs corresponding amino acid is attached (by aminoacyl-tRNA synthetases). tRNAs cope with the degeneracy of the genetic code in two manners: having more than one tRNA (with a specific anti-codon) for a particular amino acid; and 'wobble' base-pairing, i.e. permitting non-standard base-pairing at the 3rd anti-codon position.
Source: RNAcentral